CCUACGGGGGGCAGCAGUGGGGGGUAUUGCACAAUGGGGGGAACCCUGAUGCAGCGACGCCGCGUGGGUGAAGGAGCGUUUCGGCGCGUAAAGCCCUAUCGGCAGGGAAGAAGGAGGACGGUACCUGACUAGGAAGCCACGGCUAACUACGUGCCAGCAGCCGCGGUAAAACGUAGGGGGCAAGCGUUAACCGGAUGUCCUGGGUGGAAAGGGGGGGCAGACGGCAGCGCAAGCCAGGAGUGAAUGCCCGGGGCCCAACCCCGGGACUGCUUUGGAACGUGGGGGGGUGGAGUGCAGGAGGGGGAGGCGGAAUUCCUGGUGUAGCGGUGAAAUGCGUAGAUAUCAGGAGGAACACCGGUGGCGAAGGCGGCCGCCUGGACUACGACUGACGUUGAGGCCCGAAAGCGUGGGGAGCAAACAGGAUUAGAUACCCUAGUAGUC
This 441-nucleotide ribosomal RNA is filed under the name uncultured bacterium. RNAcentral's name for it is "partial 16S ribosomal RNA". It matches the Rfam family "Bacterial small subunit ribosomal RNA", at positions 338 to 795 of the family's 1533-position model. The record is from RNAcentral.